This 2921-nucleotide ribosomal RNA is filed under the name Staphylococcus aureus VET0294R. RNAcentral's name for it is "bacterial LSU rRNA". It matches the Rfam family "Bacterial large subunit ribosomal RNA". Lineage: Bacteria; Bacillati; Bacillota; Bacilli; Caryophanales; Staphylococcaceae. RNAcentral also lists the same sequence under 1 other name. The record is from RNAcentral.
UUAAGUUAUUAAGGGCGCACGGUGGAUGCCUUGGCACUAGAAGCCGAUGAAGGACGUUACUAACGACGAUAUGCUUUGGGGAGCUGUAAGUAAGCUUUGAUCCAGAGAUUUCCGAAUGGGGAAACCCAGCAUGAGUUAUGUCAUGUUAUCGAUAUGUGAAUACAUAGCAUAUCAGAAGGCACACCCGGAGAACUGAAACAUCUUAGUACCCGGAGGAAGAGAAAGAAAAUUCGAUUCCCUUAGUAGCGGCGAGCGAAACGGGAAGAGCCCAAACCAACAAGCUUGCUUGUUGGGGUUGUAGGACACUCUAUACGGAGUUACAAAGGACGACAUUAGACGAAUCAUCUGGAAAGAUGAAUCAAAGAAGGUAAUAAUCCUGUAGUCGAAAAUGUUGUCUCUCUUGAGUGGAUCCUGAGUACGACGGAGCACGUGAAAUUCCGUCGGAAUCUGGGAGGACCAUCUCCUAAGGCUAAAUACUCUCUAGUGACCGAUAGUGAACCAGUACCGUGAGGGAAAGGUGAAAAGCACCCCGGAAGGGGAGUGAAACAGAACCUGAAACCGUGUGCUUACAAGUAGUCAGAGCCUGUUAAUGGGUGAUGGCGUGCCUUUUGUAGAAUGAACCGGCGAGUUACGAUUUGAUGCAAGGUUAAGCAGUAAAUGUGGAGCCGUAGCGAAAGCGAGUCUGAAUAGGGCGUUUAGUAUUUGGUCGUAGACCCGAAACCAGGUGAUCUACCCUUGGUCAGGUUGAAGUUCAGGUAACACUGAAUGGAGGACCGAACCGACUUACGUUGAAAAGUGAGCGGAUGAACUGAGGGUAGCGGAGAAAUUCCAAUCGAACCUGGAGAUAGCUGGUUCUCUCCGAAAUAGCUUUAGGGCUAGCCUCAAGUGAUGAUUAUUGGAGGUAGAGCACUGUUUGGACGAGGGGCCCCUCUCGGGUUACCGAAUUCAGACAAACUCCGAAUGCCAAUUAAUUUAACUUGGGAGUCAGAACAUGGGUGAUAAGGUCCGUGUUCGAAAGGGAAACAGCCCAGACCACCAGCUAAGGUCCCAAAAUAUAUGUUAAGUGGAAAAGGAUGUGGCGUUGCCCAGACAACUAGGAUGUUGGCUUAGAAGCAGCCAUCAUUUAAAGAGUGCGUAAUAGCUCACUAGUCGAGUGACACUGCGCCGAAAAUGUACCGGGGCUAAACAUAUUACCGAAGCUGUGGAUUGUCCUUUGGACAAUGGUAGGAGAGCGUUCUAAGGGCGUUGAAGCAUGAUCGUAAGGACAUGUGGAGCGCUUAGAAGUGAGAAUGCCGGUGUGAGUAGCGAAAGACGGGUGAGAAUCCCGUCCACCGAUUGACUAAGGUUUCCAGAGGAAGGCUCGUCCGCUCUGGGUUAGUCGGGUCCUAAGCUGAGGCCGACAGGCGUAGGCGAUGGAUAACAGGUUGAUAUUCCUGUACCACCUAUAAUCGUUUUAAUCGAUGGGGGGACGCAGUAGGAUAGGCGAAGCGUGCGAUUGGAUUGCACGUCUAAGCAGUAAGGCUGAGUAUUAGGCAAAUCCGGUACUCAUUAAGGCUGAGCUGUGAUGGGGAGAAGACAUUGUGUCUUCGAGUCGUUGAUUUCACACUGCCGAGAAAAGCCUCUAGAUAGAAAAUAGGUGCCCGUACCGCAAACCGACACAGGUAGUCAAGAUGAGAAUUCUAAGGUGAGCGAGCGAACUCUCGUUAAGGAACUCGGCAAAAUGACCCCGUAACUUCGGGAGAAGGGGUGCUCUUUAGGGUUAACGCCCAGAAGAGCCGCAGUGAAUAGGCCCAAGCGACUGUUUAUCAAAAACACAGGUCUCUGCUAAACCGUAAGGUGAUGUAUAGGGGCUGACGCCUGCCCGGUGCUGGAAGGUUAAGAGGAGUGGUUAGCUUCUGCGAAGCUACGAAUCGAAGCCCCAGUAAACGGCGGCCGUAACUAUAACGGUCCUAAGGUAGCGAAAUUCCUUGUCGGGUAAGUUCCGACCCGCACGAAAGGCGUAACGAUUUGGGCACUGUCUCAACGAGAGACUCGGUGAAAUCAUAGUACCUGUGAAGAUGCAGGUUACCCGCGACAGGACGGAAAGACCCCGUGGAGCUUUACUGUAGCCUGAUAUUGAAAUUCGGCACAGCUUGUACAGGAUAGGUAGGAGCCUUUGAAACGUGAGCGCUAGCUUACGUGGAGGCGCUGGUGGGAUACUACCCUAGCUGUGUUGGCUUUCUAACCCGCACCACUUAUCGUGGUGGGAGACAGUGUCAGGCGGGCAGUUUGACUGGGGCGGUCGCCUCCUAAAAGGUAACGGAGGCGCUCAAAGGUUCCCUCAGAAUGGUUGGAAAUCAUUCAUAGAGUGUAAAGGCAUAAGGGAGCUUGACUGCGAGACCUACAAGUCGAGCAGGGUCGAAAGACGGACUUAGUGAUCCGGUGGUUCCGCAUGGAAGGGCCAUCGCUCAACGGAUAAAAGCUACCCCGGGGAUAACAGGCUUAUCUCCCCCAAGAGUUCACAUCGACGGGGAGGUUUGGCACCUCGAUGUCGGCUCAUCGCAUCCUGGGGCUGUAGUCGGUCCCAAGGGUUGGGCUGUUCGCCCAUUAAAGCGGUACGCGAGCUGGGUUCAGAACGUCGUGAGACAGUUCGGUCCCUAUCCGUCGUGGGCGUAGGAAAUUUGAGAGGAGCUGUCCUUAGUACGAGAGGACCGGGAUGGACAUACCUCUGGUGUACCAGUUGUCGUGCCAACGGCAUAGCUGGGUAGCUAUGUGUGGACGGGAUAAGUGCUGAAAGCAUCUAAGCAUGAAGCCCCCCUCAAGAUGAGAUUUCCCAACUUCGGUUAUAAGAUCCCUCAAAGAUGAUGAGGUUAAUAGGUUCGAGGUGGAAGCAUGGUGACAUGUGGAGCUGACGAAUACUAAUCGAUCGAAGACUUAAUCAA